AUGCGAGCCCCGGGAAGAGUUUUCUUUUCUCUGUAAGGAGAUCGAGUCCCUGGAAUGGGUUCGCCCCGAGAUAGGGAUGGUGGCUCCGUAGAGCAGUGCGGUUCUUGCGCUGUCCGGUGCGCUCGCGUCGGCCCUUGAAAAUCCGAGUGAGGGAGUGUGAUUUUCGUGCCGGACCGUACCCACAUCCGCAGCAGGUCUCCAAGGUGAACAGCCUCUAGUCGAUGGACCAAUGUAGGUAAGGGAAGUCGGCAAAACGGAUCCGUAACCUUGGGAUAAGGAUUGGCUCUGAGGACUGAGCCGGUCGGGCUGGGGACCUGAAGCAGGAACGGCACUGCACCGGGACUGGGCGGGGCUCGCCGUUCACGCGGCGCGGCCAAGCCCGGACCAGCGUCGGGACCUUCCUGUGGAAAGCCUCAGCUGCGCGGCGUCUGAGGGCUUCGUGCCCAAAGUGCUAUGCUUCGGCCGGCAAAAAACAGUCAACUCAGAACUGGCACGGACCGGGGGAAUCCGACUGUCUAAUUAAAACAAAGCAUUGCGAUGGCCGCUGGUCGGUGUUGACGCAAUGUGAUUUCUGCCCAGUGCUCUGAAUGUCAACGUGAAGAGAUUCAUCAAAGCGCGGGUAAACGGCGGGAGUAACUAUGACUCUAAACGGGGGGAAGGUCUGGCAACCUUGGAGCGAGGCAAUCCUGCUUCACCUCGGUUCCGCGAACUUUUUAAAGUUUUACGCGGAAAAACUACUUUCUCGAGGU
This 749-nucleotide non-coding RNA is filed under the name Ixodes scapularis (black-legged tick). RNAcentral's name for it is "Eukaryotic large subunit ribosomal RNA". It matches the Rfam family "Eukaryotic large subunit ribosomal RNA", at positions 1671 to 2280 of the family's 3401-position model. The record is from Rfam by way of RNAcentral. Lineage: Eukaryota; Metazoa; Arthropoda; Arachnida; Ixodida; Ixodidae.